CGGGUCCUACGGGGGGCAGCAGUGGGGGAUAUUGCACAAUGGGGGAAACCCUGAUGCAGCGACGCCGCGUGUGGGAAGGCGGACCUCUGGAUUGUAAACCACUGUCCCCAGGGACGAAGAUGACGGUACCUGGGGAGGAAGCUCCGGCUAACUACGUGCCAGCAGCCGCGGUAAUACGUAGGGAGCAAGCGUUGUCCGGAAUUACUGGGUGUAAAGGGAGCGUAGGCGGGGUGGCAAGUUGGGUGUUAAAUCUACCGGCUCAACUGGUAGUCGCACUCAAAACUGCUAUUCUUGCGUGAAGUAGG
RNAcentral lists this ribosomal RNA (305 nucleotides) under uncultured bacterium. RNAcentral's name for it is "bacterial SSU rRNA". It matches the Rfam family "Bacterial small subunit ribosomal RNA", at positions 333 to 655 of the family's 1533-position model. The record is from RNAcentral.